AUGGGACUUGUGUUAAUCAUUGCAAGGAUGGAUUUGAAAGAGAUGCUCCUGACUUCAUUUGCAAACAGAAGAUAGACAAUUCAUCCACCUUAGUGCCAAGUAUUUCAUCAUCCACCUUAGUGCCAAGUAUUUCAUCAUCCACCUUAGUGCCAAGUAUUUCAGGAAUCUCACCGUCCAAACAUAUCACCACUGCCACACAACCAUCCACAACUGCUCAACAACAUGCUGCUGGAAUGAACAAUGACCUAGUUAUAAUUUUGAGUGUUGUGUCAUGUCUACUUUUUGUGCUUUUAUGUGGAUUUAUUGGAUGGAGGACAUAUGAUAGAAAAAGAUAUGAAAAAUGUGCUCAAUAUGAUUUCAAGGCAAAAAACAUAACUGUCCACAUUUCCGAUACAGAGACUGGAAAGAAAGUGGCAAGAGGACUUCCAACAGAUGUUUAGCAUGAAGACCCUGAUCAGACUGAAGUCCUGAGAGUGGCAGAAUGAAAGAGGAAGCUGAUGAGACAGUUGAAAAUCCAGAUAUCCUUUUAGCUCACCUGAGCCAAAGGCUCAUGGUGAGCUUUUGUGACCGCUCAAUGUCCAUCGUGCAUAGUGUGACGUGCGUCGUGUGUCUGUCAACAAUUCCUAAAAAAAUCUUCUUCUUGAAAACCACUGGGCAGAAUUACACUAAACUUCUCAGGAUUGAUCCUUGGAUGGUCCCCUUUCAAAAUUGUUUAAAGAAUUGAAUUCCAAGCAGAACUCUGGUUGCCAUGGCAACCAAACCAAAAGGAAAUACUGAAAAAAUCUUCUUGUCCAAAACCACAGGGCCUAGGGCUUUGAUAUUUGGUAUGCAGCAUCAUAUAGUAAUUCUCUACCAAGAUUAUUCAAAUUAUUCCCCUAGGGUCAAAUAUGGCCCUGGGAGUCACAUGGUUUAUGUAGACUUAAUAGGAAAAAACUUUAAAAAUCUUCUUGUCUGAAACCACAACACCUAGGCUUUUGAUAUUUGGUAUGCAGCAUUGCCUUAUGGUCCUCGACUAAGAGUGUUCAAAUUAUGCCCCUAGAGUGAAAAGAGGCCCUGCCCCGGGGGUACCAAGUUUUACAUAGACUUAUGUAGGAAAAACUUUUAAAAUCGUUCAGUCUGAAACUGCAAGGCCUAGACUUUUGAUAUUUGGUAUGUAGCAUUGCCAAGUGGUACUUUACCAAGAUUAUUUAAAAUUAUGCUCCUGAGGUGAAAAGAGGCCCAACCCAGGGGGUCCCAAGUUUUACAUAGACUUAUAUAGGAAAAAAACUUUAAAAAUCUUCUUGCCUGAAACUGCAAGGUCAAGGCUUUUGAUAUUUGGUAUGUAUGUUGCAUUGCCUAAUGGUCCUCUACCAUAAUUGUUCAAAUUAUGCCCCUUGGGUGAAAAGAGGCCCUGCCCCGGGGGUACCAAGUUUUACAUAGAUUUAUACAUUAUACAGGAAAUUUUUUUUUAAAUCUUGUCUUGAAGUUCAAGGCUUAAGCCUUUGAUAUUUGGUAUGUAGCAUUGCUUAGUGGUUCUCUAACAAGAUUAUUCAAAUUAUGCCCCUGGGGUGAAAAGAGGCCCCGCCCCGAGGGUCACUUGUAUAUGAGUUAUAUAGGAAAAUAUACUUCAAAAAUUAUCUGAUCAUAUUUCCUAGACUGUUUAAUUAUAAUUACCUGAUGACCCCAAGUUACUAAGGGUCACUUGACCAUGACCUUGACCUAAUGACCUACAGUUUUGUUUUUUUAAGAUACAUCCUUGAAAUUUGGAUGACAUCACAGUUUUGCACACCGAUCUUAACAGCAUAGAAAUUGGACCACAUCAGUAACUUUCGAUAAAGAUUUCAAUACUCCUCUUUAAUGUUCUUAUUGUGACUUACUGACCUACUUUCUUGUUUUUGAAGCUACAGCAAAAUGAUUUGGACCACAUGUAUAAUGUUUGAUAUGGAUUUCAAUACUCAUCUUGAAUAGUCUUUAUCAUGACCUACUGACCUACUUUCUUGUUUUUGAAGAUACAGCAUUUGGACCACAUGUCGAACUUUUGAUACAGAUUUCAAUACUCGUCUUAAAUAUUGUAACCCUGACCUACUGACCUACUUUCUUGUUUUUGAAGCUACUGCAAAGAGAUUUUGACCACCUGUAUAUUUUUUUUCCAACAGAUUUCAGUACUUACCUUGAAGAAUCUUCACCAUGACCUUCUCACCUAGUUUUUGUUUUUGAAGCUUUAGCAAAGUAAUUUGUUCAAUUAAACUCAGGUGAGCGAUAUAGGGCCAUCAUGGCCCUCUUGUUUUAUUUUGGAAGUGUGACAUUAUGUACUACUAUUCCUUAGUGUUUAGGAUGAUAUAGCUUUGAAUACUAUAUAGCAGUUGUGAUUUAUUACCUCGACUAAGAAAAAGUAGAGCUAUUGCACUCGCCCCAGCGUCGGUGUCGCCAUUGGUUGAAGUUUUUGAUAAAAUCAAAUAUCUCUGUUACUAUCAAAGCUUUGACUUGAAACUUGAAAUAGUUAUUUACUAUCAAAGUCUACACCAGGAGAAACAAUCCCCAUAACUCUGGUUGGAAUUUUGACAGAAUUAUGCCCCUUUUUAACUUAGAAUUGUUUGGUUAAGUUUUUUGAUAAAGUCAAAUAUCUCUGUUACUAUCAAAGCUUUUGACUUUAAACUUUAGUUAUUAACUUUCAAAGUCUACACCAGGAGAAACAAUCCCAAUAACUCUGUUUGAAUUUUGACAGAGUUAUGCCCCUUUUUAACUUGGAAUUUUUUAUGCCCCCACUUUGGGGGUGGGGGGGGGCAUAUAGAUUUGCUCUUGUCCGUCCGUCCGUCCUUCCGAAAAUGUUGUGUCGCGCGUAGCUCUGAAAGUAUUUGACGUAGAGUCACAAAACUUUACAGGAAUGUUGGUCAGCAUGUGUAGUUGUGCACCUGGGGUUUUGCGUCCGGAUUCAUUCAGUCAUGUAGAAGUUAUGUCCCCUGACUUUGUAAAAAUUGGUCAUUUUAAUGUUGUGUCGUGCCUAGCUCCAAAAGUAUAUGAGCUAGAGUCACAAAACUUUACAGGCAUGUUGGUCAGCAUGUGUAGUUGUGCACCUGGGGUUUUGCGUCCGGAUUCAUCCAGACAUGUAGGAGUUAUGGCCCUUGACUUAGUUAAAAAUUGGUUAUUUUAAUGUUGUGUCGCGCAUAGCUCCAAAAGUAUUUGACCUAGAAUCACCAAAGUUUACAGGAAUGUUGGUCAGCAUGUGUAGUUGUGCACCUGGGGUUCACAUCCGGAUUCAUGCAGUCGUGUAGAAGUUAUGGCCCCUGACUUUGUAAAAAUUGGUCAUUUUAAUGUUGUGUCGUGCCUAGCUCCAAAAGUAUAUGACCUAGAGUCACAAAACUUUACAGGCAUGUUGGUCAGCAUGUGUAGUUGUGCACCUGUGGUUUUGCGUCCGGAUUCAUCCAGUCAUGUAGGAGUUAUGGCCCCUGACUUAGUAAAAAAUUGGUCAUUUUAAUGUUGUGUCGCGCAUAGCCCCAAAAGUAUUUGACCUAGAAUCACCAAAGUUUACAGGAAUGUUGGUCAGCAUGUGUAGUUGUGCACCUGGGGUUUCGCAUCCGGAUUCAUUCAGUAUUGUAGGAGUUCUGGCCCCUGACUAAUGUCAUGUAGUGGGGGCAUCUGUGUCCCAUGGACACAUUUCUAGUUGGUUAAAGUUUUAUAAAGUUUUUACUGGCAAAGACCUAGAAUCACCAAAGUUUACAGGAAUGUUGGUCAGCAUGUGUAGUUGUGCACCUGGGGUUUCGCAUCCGGAUUCAUUCAGUAUUGUAGGAGUUCUGGCCCCUGACUAAUGUCAUGUAGUGGGGGCAUCUGUGUCCCAUGGACACAUUUCUAGUUGGUUAAAGUUUUUACUGGCAAAGCUCUAAUUCAGAGUCAAGCACUGAGAAAAGUCGAGAGCCCUGUCAUCAGACAGCUCUUGUUUUUAGCUCGACUAUUCGAAGAAUAAGUACAGCUAUCCUACUCACCACGGCGUUGGCGUCACACCUUGGUUAAGCUUUGUGUACUAGUCCACAUUUUGACAAAGUCUUUUGAGAUAAAGCUUUGAAACUUUCAACACUUGUUUACCAUCACCAUGACCAGUUAUAGGCAAGAGCACAUAACUCCAUCAAAGAUUUUGACUGAAUUAUGGCCCCUUUUGACUUAGAAAUCAUGGUUAAGUUUUUUGUACCAGUUUAUAUUUUGACAAGUCUUUUGAGAUAAAGCUUUGAAACUUUCAACACUUGUUUACCAUCACCAUGUCCAGUUAUAGGUGGGCCGGUGGUCUAGUGGUAACACGCUUGACUGUCAAUCCAGAGGUCCGGGGUUUGAAUCCCGGUCCAGGCACUGGAAAUUUCUGAGAUGCUCUUGAGUGUCUCCCACCUAACUAGAGGCCUGUACUGGUUCUUCCCAGGAAAGACGGCUUCGUGUGUAUCGGUGCUAUACACCGGGCACGUUAAAGAACCAGACUGUCUAUUCGCAAAGAGCUAGGCUAUGUUAGCCGGACACGUUUGUAUCUAAAACAUUCUCUCUGUCUGUUCUGGGGGCUUUAUCUCACUCUGUCCCUCUGGUCAGAUCGCUCUGUGUCUGUAGUAGUAGAGGAUGAAUUUCGCGCCCUGUGUGGCUGCGUUUGCUAUAUGUAAAGCGCCUUUGAACGUGUUUAUCAUGAAAAGGGCGCUAUAUAAAUCUGGUAUAAUUAAUUAAUUAUAGGCAAGAAUACAUAACUCCAUCAAGGAGUUUGGCUGAAUUAUGGCCCCUUUCGACUUAGAAAUCAUGGUUAAGUUUUUCGUACCAGUUCAUAUUUUGACAAAGUCUUUUGAGAUAAAGCUUUGAAACUUUCAACACUUGUUUACCAUCACCAUGUCCAGUUAUAGAUAAGAGAACAUAACUCCAUCAAGGAUUUUGGCUGAAUUAUGGCCCUUUUUGACUUAGAAAUCUUGGUUAAGUUUUUCAUACCAGUUCAUAUUUAGACAAAGUCUUUUGAGAUAAAGCUUUGAAACUUUCAACACCUGAUUACCAUCACCAUGUCCAGGUAUAGGCGAGAGUACAUAACUUCAUCAAGGAUUUUGGCUGAAUUAUGGCCCCUUUUGACUUAGAAAUCUUGGUUAAGUUUUUCGUACCAGUUAAUAUUUUGUGUAAAGUGUUUGACAUAUGGCUUUGAAACUUUUAUCACUUGUUCAGUAUAAUAGUCUCUAUCUGUAGGAAAGAGAACAUAACUCUGUCAUCUAUUUUGGCUGAAUUAUGGCUCUUUUUGGACUUGGAAAUUAGUUCUGUUUUCAUACAAGUCCACGUUUUGUCAAAACUAUUUGACAUAUUGCUUUUAAACUUUGAACACCAUAUCAUCAUGAUUUCAAUCUGUAGGCAAGAAUACGUAACUCUGACAACUAUUUUGGCUGAAUUAUGGCCCUUUUUGGACUUUGAAAUUGGUUCACACAUUGCCAUUUAGUGCAAGACUUAUCGAAAUCCACAAAUACAGGAACAUUGUUUGUCUAAUCUUCUUUUGUCUGAAUAUCUGUGGUAAUAUUUUGACCCCAUUCUUCAGUCAAUUCUUUGAAUAGUCGAGCGCGCUGUCAUCCGACAGCUCUUGUUGAUACAAGUCACAUUCCAUGCAAGACCAUCACUUCUGUUUAGAAAGAUGCGAUGGGAUACAGACAAAAUCCCCCCUGCUCAAUGUUAUCAAGGCAAAAAUAAUCCUCUCAUUUUUUUCCAGUUAAAUCCAAGUUUUCACGUUAUUCCAUUUAGAAUCAAUAAUAAUCAUCUUAAAAAUGAUUUUUUUUUUCAUUUCAGAAGAAUCUAUUCAUUUUGGUUUAUUUUUAAAGUUUUUUUUACACAAAACAAAAUUAAGCCCGCCUUGGUCAGAUUGAGGCUUGGGUAUUUUGUACUGGGGGAUUUUGUCCUACAUGAUAUAUUGCUUUAUAAUGUUUGUUUUACAACUUGUGUUUUGCUAAGAACAUGAUAUUUAUAUACAUACUGAUUUUUUACUGGUUGUUAGCCGUUUUAUAAAAUUAUCUUGGUAUGUUGUCAUAAUUGUGCUGCUUAUUUCUAGUUUUAAAAAUUCAGUGUUUAUGUCAAAGGUUUUAACUUUCCAUUUUAGAUGCAUUUGACACACUUCAGGAUGAGUUUUAUCUACUUAGCUUAUCAGUUAUUAGUCCUAUUGUCUGGCAAAUUCCAAGAACUGGUGGUUCAUUUUUUGGUUUGCACAUAAUAAUAAAAAAAUAUUAAUUAUUAUGUGUUUGUCUGUAUAUACUGUUAGGGAUAUUACGAUUAUGAAUCAUGAAUUAAUAGUUCUUGACAUGAUCAUCUAUGAAAAUUUUCAUCAUUGAAAAAUUCGGAUGUAAGAAUGCCUUUAAAUAAGCUAGAUGUAGAUUCAUAAAUCCAUUCUGUUUAUGUAAAUUGCCAUUCUUUCUUUUAUUGAUAUGCAUGGGUUUGUUGUGUUUUUUUUUCAAUUAUACAAAAAUAUAUAAACUUUACCAGUCUUUACAUGGUAUUGAGUCAAGUUCAGUAAAGAACUCAGAAAUCCAGACAGUUAGCUGCAUGAAUCAAUUUUGCCAAAAUUUUAUUACUUUUAAAGGCACAUAUCAGAUAGUUUCCAUUGCACACAGUUUCCAUUGCACAUCUUUCCAGUUUUGUACUUGGCUAGCAGCCACUCACAAAUUGGUUUAGAAGGGUAGAGCCGGCUGCUUAAAGAAAAACUGGCCAGUUCCCGUUGAUAACCAGAGAAACGAAGUUAAAAAGAAUAAUUUAUGUUUAAUUUUCUGUCCGUAUCUUAGAGCAUUAUUACAUGCAAGACAUAGUCUGUCUCACCCUCAGGUGCUAUUUGCUUCCUCUUUUUAAGAGUUGCUUGGUAAAUAAGUAUAACUACAAAGAUAUAUUUUUGAAAUUGAUUAUUUAUUGCAGUGAUUUGGCUAUCCUUCAGAUAUAGUCAUUUAAAUUCAUGAUUACUUCUUUCAAAAGGAGGUAAUAAGGUUUUGACAUAUUAUGCAAAGUGUUGUUGUUUGUGUCUCAUUCGAUAGAUUUUGUUUUUAACUAGUUACACACAAAAAGAGAAAAGUAUCUGUCUUUUAGAAUUUUCUUUAUUAAAAAUAUGUUUUUUGUCAAUUUUGUAUGUAAAACCGGAAUACUCAUCUGGCAUCAAAACACUAUUCCUUUAUAUUUUUGUGUUAAAAUUUGUUCAAAUAUUCUUUUCUGUACUAACUGUAAUUUUCAUGUUUUCAUGAAAAACUUUUUUUUGUAUUUUUCUAUUAGGUCGUCUCCCUUUAAUUGUGGUAUCUUCACAUUUUGAACCUCAGCCUAUCAUUUUAAUUGUUGAUAUUUGACACUUAUGUCAUUUUAUUAUUCAGGUAAAUUAUAAGAAAGUCUGUAAGUUAGUAAAAAAAAAACCAUAUAUUUUGUGUCAUUUUGUUGUUAAAUGUUCUCUUUCGUCUCUAAGAACAAAUCCAGUUUAAAGUGAACAAGUACUUUAUGUUGUUAACCAAGAUACAGCGCCAAAAUAUAUGCAGAGUAAACUUAAGAAAACGUACACACAAUUUAAAUCUGAGAUCUUCUGAAAACAGUGAAUUAUAUGUACCAAAACCAAAUUUGGAAUUCUUCUGCGAAUCACUGAAUUACUCAGGUCCAAAAAUAUUGAAUGCCAUACCACUCACAAUUAGAAAGUCUGACACUAAAACAAUUCAUAAAUCUGUAUCUGCAGUGGAAGUUCCCUGGUGGUCUGAACUCCUUGAACUAUAUGACUCAAAUGUAUAUUUCUUGUUUAUUAUGUUACUGUUUUACUGUAUUAUUGUUCUCUGCUUUCAUAUUUUGUCAACAUUAAUGUUUUGUUAGUUUGUUUUGUAAAUACUGUAUAAACAUGUAUAUAUCAAGAUUAUGUUACUCAAAUGUCCAGCCUCUAUGAAUAAAGACGUUAUUAUUAUUAGUGAUUGUUUUAGGUAUAUCCUCAGAUAUACCUAUUUCACCAUCAAGCAUAGAAAUAGUUAAAUGUGCUGUCCCAGCUGACAGUUCUUGUUUGUUUCUUGUCUUACUGAUUUUUGAAUACAUGUAUAUAGUGCGUAUUAUAUGAUUUUAGUUUAAAUGUGAUUAUUUUGUAGUCCAUAAUUUAUAAGGUUUUGAUGUUUUAUUUUGUUUUAAAAUAUACAAAGAGUCAGUAUUCAAAUCUUUCAAAAGAUUGUGAUUUUUUUUUUAUUUUCAUACUGUUGUUAGAGAUUACUAAAAAUAGUUAAUUAGCUGUGAUCUAUAAUUUUGUCGGUGUGACGUUAAACUCAACAAAAACAAAAUGCUAUAAAUAGUUACUGAUUUGUACAGGAUAUAAUCCUUUAACCCGAGGCAAUAACUAAAAGCAUGCACAAUAACCGUGAUAUGCACACCAUGGGUGUAUAAUGUCUUUUUUUAUGUCAUUUUACUCUUAAUCAUCACAAAAGUGCAUAUUUGACAUGACUUAAUUGUUUAAAUUAUAGUUAUUGCAUUUAGGUCUCAUUAAACUGCUACGUCCUCUUGCAAAUAUGUGUUUAGUCAUGCCAAUGUAGGGAUAAUGCAUGUUUUUUCCUGUUAUAAUGUCUGCAGAAUCCUGAGGGAUUGGUUGGUGCCCGAGCCCGUAGGGCGAGGGUACAAACGUAUCCCGAGGGAUUCUGAAGAUGUUAUAACACGAAAAUAACAUUCGCUAACGCUAUUCUAGCAUAAAACGCGAAAAAAAAACGAAUAACUGAAUACAUUAUCCCUCAACGUCAUUAAAUUUCCAUGAAAUGCACGGGAAUAACCGAAUUGUUUUUUCACGUUGACGUCAUUUCCAUUUGAACUAUCUGUUUUAGGGCCAUAAAACGUUUACGUUCUGCCACGGAACGCGCAUAUUUAAAAAGGUAUUAUAACAGCACGUGAGCGCGAGAAUCUCUCUGUUAACACACGUUUUAUCGCCUGUUAAAACACCCCCAAAAAGUGACAAGAACAGCAGUUUUAUGCUAGAAUAACCAUUAAAGGCGCAUCAUUGCCAUUUAAUAAGUUUAUACUAAAUGUCUGAACAUCUGUUAUUGGCAUUGUUGAUACAGAUACCAGUAAUUUACAGGGUUAUACUAAAACUUUUCUCGUUGGGUUAGAAAAGACCCAAGCAGAGAUUGAAAUUGAUAAUGGAAAUAAGCAGUAAGAAGGGAUGAUUCAGAAAGAGGAAAGAAUUGUAAUAUUAAAGAACUUACAGACUUCUAAAGACUUGAUUUUGAAACUGAAUUUCAUGUAAAAGAGUCCUAUCAAUUUACUUCAGUAGUGCUAUGGUAAAAUUUUGAUGCGGUCAUGUUGUGAUAUGAAUAAACUGUUAAUUGAUCUUGA
Mercenaria mercenaria is the source of this 9279-nucleotide long non-coding RNA. RefSeq lists it as uncharacterized. The transcript has 5 exons. The record is from RefSeq and is a predicted model, not a curated record. Lineage: Eukaryota; Metazoa; Mollusca; Bivalvia; Venerida; Veneridae.